UACGUAGGGUCCGAGCGUUGUCCGGAAUUAUUGGGCGUAAAGAGCUCGUAGGCGGUCUGUCGCGUCGGAUGUGAAAAUCCAGGGCUCAACCCUGGACCUGCAUUCGAUACGGGCAGACUAGAGUUCGGUAGGGGAGACUGGAAUUCCUGGUGUAGCGGUGAAAUGCGCAGAUAUCAGGAGGAACACCGGUGGCGAAGGCGGGUCUCUGGGCCGAAACUGACGCUGAGGAGCGAAAGCGUGGGGAGCAAACAGG
This 253-nucleotide ribosomal RNA is filed under the name uncultured bacterium. RNAcentral's name for it is "partial 16S ribosomal RNA". It matches the Rfam family "Bacterial small subunit ribosomal RNA", at positions 524 to 776 of the family's 1533-position model. The record is from RNAcentral.